CUGCACUGUACCGCCUGCCAGUGUGAAUUUGAAUUGUGGAUGACGCGAGAAGUUUCAAUGCCUGCCGAGGUGGCACUGUCAGCGGCAGGCAGGGAGAGAGAAACGGAUUGUGCCCCCAAAGAUCCCCCCUCUCCCCUCUCCGCUCGGACAGCCAGAGCUGACUUUUGCUCCUCCUCCACACUCCUCUUUCCUCUCCCUCCCUCCCCAGCCUCAUGUUCUUCUCCCCCUUCCUGUAGCUUCCAUCCCACUCCCCCUCCCCCAAUUCCACCCUCCCCUCCCGCCCCCCCGCCUAAAAAUCCAGUCUUGCUUGGGGGCCGUCCCUCCCCGCAAGCGGAGAUCCUCGCCGGGAGGGGAUCCCGCGUCGUCCGCCCCGGCGCGGCGGCCUCUCCUGUCCGCGUCCUCCACGCGUUUUCCUGGUUCCGGCGAGGGAGCGGAGGAGAGGAGGGAGCGCGCCUGGAUGAGCUGCUUCUCCUGCUUCGGCCCGGCCCUGGAGGCGGAGGGCCGCAAGCCGGUGCCCGACGCCAAGGACCCCCGCGCCAAGGACGGCGCGGUCUCGGAUCGCGCCGGAUCAGAUAAAUUGAGGCUGCAGGGUGGAUCAGACCCUAAGAAUAAUCAUCUAACCAUCCCUCGCGAUGGGAGCAGCCAAAACAUUGCCGCACAGAUUUUCACUUUCCGUGAGCUUGCUGCUGCCACUAAGAACUUCAGACAAGAUUGCAUGUUGGGUGAGGGAGGUUUCGGACGUGUAUAUAAAGGUCGCCUAGAGAGUGGGCAGGCUGUUGCUGUGAAGCAACUUGAUCGUAACGGUCUCCAAGGAAAUAGAGAAUUCCUUGUUGAGGUCCUCAUGCUCAGUCUCUUGCAUCACACUAACCUUGUCAAUCUAAUUGGUUAUUGUGCUGAUGGUGACCAACGCCUCCUUGUUUAUGAGUUUAUGCCACUGGGCUCAUUAGAAGAUCACUUGCAUGAUGUGCCACCUGAGAAGGAACCUCUUGACUGGAACACACGGAUGAAGAUAGCUGCAGGUGCAGCCAAGGGCUUAGAGCAUCUUCAUGACAAGGCCAGCCCUCCUGUUAUUUACCGGGAUUUCAAAUCGUCAAACAUUCUUCUUGGUGAAGGGUUUCACCCGAAGCUGUCUGACUUUGGCCUUGCAAAACUCGGUCCAGUUGGUGACAACACUCAUGUUUCAACACGUGUGAUGGGAACUUAUGGCUACUGUGCCCCAGAAUAUGCUAUGACUGGGCAGCUCACAGUGAAAUCAGAUGUCUAUAGCUUUGGCGUUGUUUUCCUUGAACUGAUUACAGGGCGCAAAGCAAUCGACAACACCAAACCCCAGGGGGAGCAAAACCUGGUGGCAUGGGCUCGUCCACUCUUCAAGGAUCGCAGGAAGUUUCCGAAGAUGGCUGACCCAAUGCUUCAAGGCCGGUUUCCCAUGAGGGGUCUGUAUCAGGCUUUAGCUGUUGCUGCCAUGUGUUUGCAAGAGCAAGCCACAACCCGUCCUCAUAUAGGAGAUGUUGUCACUGCUCUCUCAUAUCUAGCUUCUCAGACAUAUGAUCCAAAUGCCCCAACUCAACAUACUCGGAGCAAUUCAUCGACCCCUAGGGCCAGAAAUGUUGGUGGGCGGAACAGCGAACAGCGCAACGGACGCUCACCAAAUCAUCAUUCUCCUAGGACAUCAAAGCACGGAGGGGAGGUCAGCCGGACUAGUUCUACUGGUGGUGAUUCUGGCCGGAGGUCAGGAUUGGAUGAAAUGGACAUGGCAGGAUCACAGGCAGGCAGCCCAGCACAGACAGGAAGGAAGAGAGAAACCCCCAGGACCGCUGACAGGCAGCGCGCCAUUGCGGACGCUAAAAUGUGGGGGGAGAACUCCAGAGAGCGGAAGCGACCGAACGACAGCUUUGAUAGUACAAAUGAGUAAACUGGACAGUUCUCUUUCACGACGUCACUCUAGCAGGGGGUCGACGAGUUUGCUCAUCAGCACCAGACGGGCCAGGUUUAGGAACACGGUGUUUGUUCCAGCUCUGUCCCGUUGUCUGUGAAUAAAGGCUUUUCUUGCCAUCAGCACUGCCUCACGGUUGCUUUAUCUGUAAGUUGUUGCAGUUGACAUGCCUUCUCCGGGCGGCGUCCAUUCCUUGCGAAUGUGAUUGUGUCAUGUACUCGUCUCCUUUAGAGCUCAGGAGCCUACAAGAUGCAGCUGGAAAUGUAGGAAAGGGAACUGCAAGACCGUCGAAGCCGCAGAGCUGCGUCUGUCAGGCCCUUCCUUUCAUUCUUCUGCAGUUACACGAUGUCGACGAGUACGCACCGCUGCACCUGUGUUCUGGAACUGAUUGCGCAACCGUGCCAGGCAGUUUCUUCUGAUGGAUGAGAUUUCAGGUUUGGUUGGGGGAUAGGAUAGAGAUUACCCAUGUUUCGUACAGCCGCUAUUGUUUUUGUGUCGAGUCGCGGGAUCGGUCAUUUAUUUGUAUUAGCUUCGACGUACUUCUGCUUGUAUCUUCGUGCGAACAUGGUUUAGCAUGCAGCAAAAGUACCAGGUUAUUCAGAAUUUCAGUGCCCAUAUGUUAUCCCUACUUUUGUUCCUGGAAACCAUGUUGUUCAUG
RNAcentral lists this ribosomal RNA (2591 nucleotides) under Triticum aestivum (bread wheat). RNAcentral's name for it is "partial small subunit ribosomal RNA". Lineage: Eukaryota; Viridiplantae; Streptophyta; Magnoliopsida; Poales; Poaceae. The record is from RNAcentral.